This 528-nucleotide ribosomal RNA is filed under the name uncultured bacterium. Its description in RNAcentral is "partial 16S ribosomal RNA". It matches the Rfam family "Bacterial small subunit ribosomal RNA", at positions 28 to 523 of the family's 1533-position model. The record is from RNAcentral.
GAUGAACGCUGGCGGCGUGCCUGAUACAUGCAAGUCGAACGCAUCCCGUUAAAUGAAGUGCUUGCACGGAUUUUAACAUUGGAUGAGUGGCGAACUGAUGAGUAACACGUGGGUAACCUGCCCAGAAGCAGGGGAUAACACUUGGAAACAGGUGCUAAUACCGUAUAACAACAAAAACCGCAUGGCUUUUGUUUGAAAGGUGGUUUCGGCUAUCACUUCUGGAUGGACCCGCGGCGUAUUAGCUAGUUGGUGGAGUAAUGGUUCACCAAGGCAAUGAUACGUAGCCGACCUGAGAGGGUAAUCGGCCACAUUGGGACUGAGACACGGCCCAAACUCCUACGGGAGGCAGCAGUAGGGAAUCUUCCACAAUGGACGAAAGUCUGAUGGAGCAACGCCGCGUGAGUGAAGAAGGGUUUCGGCUCGUAAAACUCUGUUGUUAAAGAAGAACGUAUCUAAGAGUAACUGCUUAGGUAGUGACGGUAUUUAACCAGAAAGCCACGGCUAACUACGUGCCAGCCGCCGCCGUAA